ACUGACACCGCAUAAGACCACGGAAAGGCAUCUUUCAGGGCGUAAAAUAUUAAUAGGUUGGCGAUGAGCAUGCUUAUCAUUAGGUAGUUGGUAGAGUAACGGCCUACCAAGCCGACGAUGAUUAGGGGUUCUGAGAGGAAGGACCCCCACACUGGAACUGAGACACGGUCCAGACUCCUACGGGAGGCAGCAGUGAGGAAUAUUGGUCAAUGGGCGAGAGCCUGAACCAGCCAUGCCGCGUGAAGGAAGACGGCCUUAUGGGUUGUAAACUUCUUUUGUGUGGGAACAAUAAGAAAUACGUGUAUUUCGAUGCGGGUACCAUACGAAUAAGCAUCGGCUAACUCCGUGCCAGCAGCCGCGGUAAUACGGAGGAUGCGAGCGUUAUCCGGAUUUAUUGGGUUUAAAGGGUGCGUAGGCGGGCGCAUAAGUCAGAGGUGAAAUCUUUCAGCUUAACUGGAAAAUUGCCUUUGAUACUGUGUGUCUUGAGUACGUGUGAGGUAGGCGGAAUGUGCAGUGUACGCGGUGAAAUGCUUAGAUAU
This 539-nucleotide ribosomal RNA is filed under the name uncultured bacterium. RNAcentral's name for it is "bacterial SSU rRNA". It matches the Rfam family "Bacterial small subunit ribosomal RNA", at positions 162 to 697 of the family's 1533-position model. The record is from RNAcentral.